Molecule: ribosomal RNA, 207 nt
Filed under: uncultured delta proteobacterium
Lineage: Bacteria; Deltaproteobacteria
Description: partial 16S ribosomal RNA
Rfam family: Bacterial small subunit ribosomal RNA
Source: RNAcentral
CGUGCAGGCGGCCUGUCAAGUCAGAUGUGAAAGCCCACGGCUCAACUGUGGAAGCGCAUUUGAAACUGUCAGGCUUGAGUACCAGAGGGGAAAGUGGAAUUCCCGGCGUAGAGGUGAAAUUCGUAGAUAUCGGGAGGAAUACCGGUGGCGAAGGCGACUUUCUGGCUGGAUACUGACGCUGAGACGCGAAAGCGCGGGGAGCAAACA